CACUUUGAACUCCUGCCGUAAUACUGUAAAUGUACAGCCACCUAUAUGAGAGACAGACGACACUCACUUGUUUUUGGAGAGAAAAUGCGUUAAGGCCAUAAACCUUUAACAGUGGAUGAAAAUCAUAGGAUCGUACAGCGUUAUGUGGAAUGAGCAUGUGGGUCAAGAGAAUUGAGGAUUACCCAUUCAAAGCAAAAAUCCUGGAAGUUUCCUUAAAUGCACCUUCGCUUUUAUUGAUUAUAUAUGCUUACUGGGUUGAUAUUAAGGUCGGAGACUAAACAAAACUCCAAAACAAUAAUGAAAGAGAGAAAGAAGCUACAAAGUGACUUUGAUCAGAACAGACACAGAAGCCCAUUCAGUACCAGGCAAAUCUUAAGUCAUUGAAGAGUUUGUUUGUUUAUUUGUUUGUUUGUUAAAUGUAUUUGCUGCCUAUCUUGCUGUGGGUCUAUUCUAGGUGGCUUUACAACAAUAAAAAGGAAGAAAUGAAAAGAGUGUAAACA
RNAcentral lists this long non-coding RNA (500 nucleotides) under Notechis scutatus (mainland tiger snake). RNAcentral describes it as "lncRNA (ENSNSUG00000014294.1)". The record is from RNAcentral. Lineage: Eukaryota; Metazoa; Chordata; Lepidosauria; Squamata; Elapidae.